Molecule: transfer RNA, 72 nt
Filed under: Gnathodentex aureolineatus (striped large-eye bream)
Lineage: Eukaryota; Metazoa; Chordata; Actinopteri; Spariformes; Lethrinidae
Description: tRNA-Asp
Rfam family: tRNA
About the family: Transfer RNA (tRNA) molecules are approximately 80 nucleotides in length. Their secondary structure includes four short double-helical elements and three loops (D, anti-codon, and T loops).
Source: RNAcentral
AAGACGCUAGUUAAGUUGCCAUAACACUGCCUUGUCAAGGCAGAAUUGUAGGUUAAACCCCUGCGUGUCUUG